Molecule: unclassified non-coding RNA, 601 nt
Filed under: Hevea brasiliensis (rubber tree)
Lineage: Eukaryota; Viridiplantae; Streptophyta; Magnoliopsida; Malpighiales; Euphorbiaceae
Source: RNAcentral
AACCACCACCAGCAACAUCAGCACAUGUCUUUGAGCAAUAAUUUCCAUAAAGAUUUUGUGCAAACAUUCAUGCCUGGUAAUCAUUUCAACCACAAAGUUUGUGAAGAAACAGAAGGAGAAGAUGUUGAGUUAAGGCUUGGACUCUCGUUGAAUGGUAGAUUUGGUGUCGACCCAAAAGCUAACAAGCUCACUGGAUCAUCUUCAAUUCCAGAUUUUAUUAACCCAGCAAGAGAUAAUGGCAGUGCUUUUAUGGUACCUUUGGUGGAGUAAAAAUCUUGUAAGGACUUGGUCUCUGCCUACAUUGACUGAUGAGGAGUGGAGGAAGAGGAAGGAGCUGCAGAUGCUUAGGAGAAUGGUCCAAAUGGAGGCUAAAAGGAAACGAUCAGAGAAACAAAGGAAUUUGAAGGCACUAAAUGAUAGAAAUAAGGGUUUUGGAGAAGAGAGCUACGAGGAAGAUAAGAGAGAAAAUGGCACCAUUAGCAAGAAUCAUAAGGGGCAGUUUGUCAAGAAUCUCAAUGGGCUGUUUGGAGCUGGUGCAGAAGGGCUUUUACCGCGAGCGCUAGUGACAGCACCAUCAUCUCAAGGGUCGAUUGGAUCACAG